UCACCUGUUGGUAGACGGAUGGUGUAUUA
RNAcentral lists this non-coding RNA (29 nucleotides) under Rattus norvegicus (Norway rat). The record is from RNAcentral. Lineage: Eukaryota; Metazoa; Chordata; Mammalia; Rodentia; Muridae.